CAUGAAGUUGUAAAGAGUGAGAGCAACCUACUGUUGAUAGAGAAGCUCAUGCAGAUGACCUUUGCCCUUCGUCGCCAGGAGAUUGUUCAGUAAGACCCAUUGGUCAAGGACUUCUUAGAGAGAUGGCCAGCCCUUAAGAUGGAAUCACAGGUGUGUGCUGAGUUCCACCGUAUCACUAACGUCAACCUACGGAACCAGUUCUAUAGUGAGCUUGACAGACACCCACCUCAACUACUGGCCUUGUACAGACAGAAAGCAGGACGCACUGGCAAAACAUCAGAGGCACUGCGUGACCUCCUGAGGACUUAUGAUCUGCAGGUGAGUUAAAAAUGAAGAAACUCCCAUUAUAUUAGAGAGAAGGCAGAAAUCUCUACGGCUGAUUACAGUCAUGGCCAAAAGUUUUGAGAAUGACACAACUAUUAAUUUUCACAAAGUCUGCUGUUUCAGUUUUUAUAAUGGCAAUACGAAAAUGUGGGAAUUAUAAAAUGUGGUUAAUAUUGGUGACACAAAGUCAGGAACAGGGUAAGUUGUCUAAGCUAAUUGGAGAGCAGAAUAAAUAAUUUAUGAACACCUCCAGAUGGUUUGGUCCAGGAGGCCAAUAAGUGCCACAGUAUAAAAGGUGCCAGUUACAAUCUGUCUGUGUUCGUUGUUGGUUGGUGUUUGAUGUCGCUGUGGCUGUUUGUUUAAUAAACCAGUGUGUGGUACACCUGAACCACCGCCUGUGAUUUUGUU
Notolabrus celidotus (New Zealand spotty) is the source of this 732-nucleotide long non-coding RNA. RefSeq lists it as uncharacterized. Lineage: Eukaryota; Metazoa; Chordata; Actinopteri; Labriformes; Labridae. The transcript has 2 exons. The record is from RefSeq and is a predicted model, not a curated record.